UGGGGAAUAUUGGACAAUGGGCGCAAGCCUGAUCCAGCCAUGCCGCGUGUGUGAUGAAGGCCUUAGGGUUGUAAAGCACUUUCGCCGAUGAAGAUAAUGACUGUAGUCGGAGAAGAAGCCCCGGCUAACUUCGUGCCAGCAGCCGCGGUAAUACGAAGGGGGCAAGCAUUGUUCGGAUUUACUGGGCGUAAAGCGUACGUAGGCGGAUGAUUAAGUCAGGGGUGAAAUCCCGGGGCUCAACCUCGGAACUGCCUUUGAUACUGGUCGUCUUGAGUCCGGGAGAGGUGAGUGGAACUCCUAGUGUAGAGGUGAAAUUCGUAGAUAUUAGGAAGAACACCAGUGGCGAAGGCGGCUCACUGGCCCGGAACUGACGCUGAGGUACGAAAGCGUGGGGAGCAAACAGGAUUAGAUACCCUGGUAGUCCACGCCGUAAACGAUGGAUGCUAGCCGUCGGGGAGCUUGCUCUUCGGUGGCGCAGCUAACGCAUUAAGCAUCCCGCCUGGGGAGUACGGUCGCAAGAUUAAAACUCAAAUGAAUUGACGGGGUCAAGCUGUUUUCCUG
RNAcentral lists this ribosomal RNA (561 nucleotides) under uncultured bacterium. Its description in RNAcentral is "partial 16S ribosomal RNA". It matches the Rfam family "Bacterial small subunit ribosomal RNA", at positions 355 to 940 of the family's 1533-position model. The record is from RNAcentral.